ACGUAGGGUGCGAGCGUUAAUCGGAAUUACUGGGCGUAAAGCGUGCGCAGGCGGUGCUGUAAGACAGGCGUGAAAUCCCCGGGCUCAACCUGGGAAUUGCGCUUGUGACUGCAGCGCUGGAGUGCGGCAGAGGGGGAUGGAAUUCCGCGUGGAGCAGCGCAAUGCGUAGAGAUGCGGAGGAACACCGAGGGCGUAGGCAAUCCCCUGGGCAGGCAAUGACGCUCAUGCGCGAAAGCGUGGGGAGCAAAAAG
Molecule: ribosomal RNA, 251 nt
Filed under: uncultured prokaryote
Description: partial 16S rRNA
Rfam family: Bacterial small subunit ribosomal RNA
Source: RNAcentral